ACUAAAAUGGACCAGGACCUCAGGAACUUCCUUUCAGUCCCCGUUUUCAUAAGCCAGAUUGUGCUGAAGAGGCUUGAGCGCCCACUUCUUCAAGCUCUUGACACUGAAAGACCACAACUGAAGAAGCUAUGCAUGAAGUUUCCAGUGAGACUCUGCAGGAGGCAAAUACCCAGAAGGUUCUAGGAGUUUUCCAAGAAGCAGCAGCGGAAGCAGAAGCAGAAGCAGAAGCGGAAGC
This is a long non-coding RNA of Nannospalax galili (Upper Galilee mountains blind mole rat), 235 nucleotides long. RefSeq lists it as uncharacterized. The record is from RefSeq and is a predicted model, not a curated record. Lineage: Eukaryota; Metazoa; Chordata; Mammalia; Rodentia; Spalacidae. The transcript is spliced from 3 exons.